GCUGGAAUAGCUCAGUUGGUAGAGCGCACCCAUGGUAAGGGUGAGGUCCUGGGUUCAAUUCCCAGUUUCAGCU
This 73-nucleotide transfer RNA is filed under the name Candidatus Dojkabacteria bacterium. Its description in RNAcentral is "tRNA-Thr". It matches the Rfam family "tRNA". Rfam says of the family: Transfer RNA (tRNA) molecules are approximately 80 nucleotides in length. Their secondary structure includes four short double-helical elements and three loops (D, anti-codon, and T loops). The record is from RNAcentral.